AUGUCGCACAAUAACCGAAGGAAAUGUAGAUCAAAGUUCACCGGAUGCCCGAAAGGAGUGACCUUAUCGUAUCGCAAGCUGUAUUUUUACCCGGCAACAUGGUACAAAGAUAAACUUCAGGAGCGCGGGAACUUUAAGGUUGCCUUAGGGGCUGAUGGGGCCCCUUUAGGAAUAGGAUCUGAUGCAACUGCCUGGCUAGUUAGCUUUCUAAAUGUAGGUUCCAAAGUCGCUUGUCCCUAUGAUAAUUUUCUAUUGUGUGGGACUAAUUGCAAGGAAGAUCACAUAGCAAUGGUUAACUAUGCUUAAGACAUUCUAUUUAAAUGAAAACCAUUAAAGAGAAAAAUAUGUAAUUGGAGGUCAAACUGUAACCUUUCAAUUUGAAUUUGCACCUUCUGACAUGAAAUGGCUUGCGUUUUUCUCUGGCGAGCUUAGGAAUGCAACACCCUUUUCUACUUUUGCAAAUGUUAACAAAGAUGGUAUGUAAACAAUAAAAAAAUGAGCCCACCAACGCCUGACAGCCAUGGGUGUAUCAUUACGGAAUAAAAGUUGCUAAGAAAGUCAAUGAAUUUGAGAGAUCAUUUGCAAACUCACACAUUUCAGAAAAGACCAAACAAUCCAUAAUCUUAAGUUUCAUCAGAAGUAUGAAGUCCAGGCAAGAGCGCAUUCCAAUGCUAGGCCCAGUCAUUGACAAAGUCUUAGCAGAGCCUCUUCACAACUCCAACAAUGACUGGCAGUUUUUUUAA
This is an RNA transcript of Nematostella vectensis (starlet sea anemone), 743 nucleotides long. RefSeq lists it as uncharacterized. The transcript has 3 exons. The record is from RefSeq and is a predicted model, not a curated record. Lineage: Eukaryota; Metazoa; Cnidaria; Anthozoa; Actiniaria; Edwardsiidae.